Thunnus maccoyii (southern bluefin tuna) is the source of this 890-nucleotide long non-coding RNA. RefSeq lists it as uncharacterized. The transcript is spliced from 3 exons. Lineage: Eukaryota; Metazoa; Chordata; Actinopteri; Scombriformes; Scombridae. The record is from RefSeq and is a predicted model, not a curated record.
GCUCUUUCAGUGGAAGAAACUGUGAUCAUGUCCUUUAAAUGAAGAGGAUGUAAUGCAGAGCCAUAUGAUGCUGUUGUAAUGGGGUAAGCUGGAUCUUCUGUAUGAGUGCCCUACUAGUGAACAAAAAGGAAUAAGUGCACUCUGAGGUUCCCUAAAGUCUAACAUACUGAAGUGUAGAAUUGGCCAGCGACACAUCCAGCGGGUUGUUGGGCGGACCUUGACUGACUGCUCAGUGGGACCGAGCAGCACCACGUUCACUGGACCAAUAAUCAGCCAGACCUUCCUGCAUGAUUCAGCUACCUGACAUUUGGCAAAAUUCACCGAAACUUUUGGAGCGACCGAGAAUCAAGAUGUGGUCGAUGGUUUCACAGUCUUCCGAUGGAGACAUUCGUCAGAUUUACACAUCUGGUGCAUCAGAGAAGACAGCACGUGCUGAUGGAAAAGAGCUCUGGCUGCCUACAACAUGAGAACAGAAAGAAUGGACCCCAACAACGUGGACGUGGUUUGGGGGGGGACUAUUCCAGUGAUGUCACUGCCAGGGCCCAGUACUAUGAGGAUCAUUUGUUUUAACUCUGAGAGCUCCCCCAUUUCUGAGUUAAAGUUAUAUUUAAACAGCAAAUACCAUCAACAUGAAGUAGAAUUAGACAACACUUACUUUUCAUUUGGACUCACUACUUCAGAAUCCACCUUAAAAAUAUGUCACAGUAUCUUGUGAUUGUUUUCUCGACUGUGAGACAAAUUACAUAUUUGUGUGUCUGUUACUGUCUUGCAAAGGUCUGAGUCCUAAUCCAUCAUUUUUUUCAAUACUUAUUGAGAAUUAGUUGACCCACACUUCAUCAGAAAUGAUGAUAAUAAUUUAAUUUGAUAAUAAAGUAUUUAUAGGUCAUUCA